UGAUAGUGAACCUGACCUACUUCUGUGGGCUAAAUUGUGUUCCCCUAAACUUCAUGCGUGAAGCCCUACCCCCCAAGUGAUGGUUUGGGAGGUGGGGUCUUUGGGAGGUAAUUAGGUUUUGAUGAGGUCAUGAGUUGGGUCUUUCAUGGUGGGAUUGGUCCCUUUAUGAGAUACCAAGAGCUUGCUGCCUUUCCUUCUGUGUCUCCACCACAUGAGGUCACAGAGAGAAGGUGGCCAUCUGCCAACCAGGAAGAGGCUCCUCACCAGGGAACUGAAUCUGCCAGCACCUUGAUCUUGGACUCCACAGCCUCCAGAACUAGGCAAGAGGAAGCCUGGGCAGAGGGAAGGCAUUUUUUGGAAACUCGUUGGGAGCUCUAAAAACCCCACCCCACGACUGGCAGGUCACUCUGACUUCUCUCUGCUGGAGACAGGGAUGGAGUGGGGGCCAGAUCUUGGCCGGAAGCCCCUGCGGCAUAACCAACCCUCUCGCCCACCCAGGCUGGCCCGGGAGGCAGCUGUCUCCAGGGGCUUCUCGAUCACCAACGCCUACAUUGCCAAGAAGGAAGACACCUUCACCGGCUUCCAGUCCAGCAUUUCUCAAAAUGGGGUCUUUGAAUGAAUUAUGCUGGAUAUGAACGUGUGCUGCACAGAAGUAGCAUACCAGAGUCAGAUGCACUUGAGAGAUGCUCAUAGUCAAGUGUAUUCUUUUGAAGAGCAGGACUUCUCCGAAUCUCACAUUUGCACGUGUAAGGGGACUAUCCAAGAAAGGGCCAUAGGAAGCUAUUGACCAAAAAUGUAUUUAAUUUGGUUAAUAUUAUCUUUGUGUGUGUGAGGAUCACCCAGUAGCUCUACUGCUCUGGGUGGGGGCAAGGAUGCCAAGCAUAUGUAGUUUAUUUCUCUAAAAUUACUCUAAACUCCCUUAUGAGCCUGCACCCAGCGGGUAGAAGGGAAGAAGGGAGGAAAGGAAGGAGGGGGUGAGGAAGGGGGAGAGGGAGAGAAGGAAGCUGACUUUUGUUCAGUCUGGUUUAAAACGUCCCAAUCCAACCGUCUUAACUGUUCAUUGGAUCGACGCCUUCUCUUUACUCACUCUUUCCUUUUCCUCCCCAGCUCUCCCUACUGCCCCGAAGAUGUGGCUGGAUGUUUGGGGAAGAGGCUUAUAACCUCACGGUAGGUAGGGGUGGACACAGAGCCAGGUCCUCUGGGGGUGGGCCAGCUGAUGCCCCCCAAGGUCCUGUCCCACUAAGGGCUUCUCUGGACCUUUUCCGUGGUCAGAGCACCAUUUAACAGUCCCUUUGAGUCACCUCACAGUGUAUUAACAUAUGUACCUCUUUCGACCGUGUCCUAAGCAAUAAAAUCCUCAAACUGG
This is a long non-coding RNA of Neofelis nebulosa (Clouded leopard), 1366 nucleotides long. RefSeq lists it as uncharacterized. The record is from RefSeq and is a predicted model, not a curated record. NCBI's taxonomy places the organism in Eukaryota, Metazoa, Chordata, Mammalia, Carnivora, Felidae. The transcript is spliced from 2 exons.